GCGAGAGUGGUGGAAUUGGUAGACACGCCGGUCUUAGGAGCCGGUGCUUUUCGCGUAAGGGUUCAAGUCCCUUCUCUCGCA
RNAcentral lists this transfer RNA (81 nucleotides) under Spirochaeta sp. LUC14_002_19_P3. It matches the Rfam family "tRNA". From Rfam's summary of the family: Transfer RNA (tRNA) molecules are approximately 80 nucleotides in length. Their secondary structure includes four short double-helical elements and three loops (D, anti-codon, and T loops). Further hydrogen bonds mediate the characteristic L-shaped molecular structure. tRNAs have two regions of fundamental functional importance: the anti-codon, which is responsible for specific mRNA codon recognition, and the 3' end, to which the tRNAs corresponding amino acid is attached (by aminoacyl-tRNA synthetases). tRNAs cope with the degeneracy of the genetic code in two manners: having more than one tRNA (with a specific anti-codon) for a particular amino acid; and 'wobble' base-pairing, i.e. permitting non-standard base-pairing at the 3rd anti-codon position. Lineage: Bacteria; Pseudomonadati; Spirochaetota; Spirochaetia; Spirochaetales; Spirochaetaceae. The record is from Rfam by way of RNAcentral.